Molecule: long non-coding RNA, 819 nt
Organism: Drosophila gunungcola (fruit fly)
Lineage: Eukaryota; Metazoa; Arthropoda; Insecta; Diptera; Drosophilidae
Exons: 2
Source: RefSeq, a predicted model, not a curated record
GGGUAUGCGCAUAAAUAUUUGCAUGGCAAGUAUUCGCACGUAUGUACAUACAUAUUUAAGUCAAAUGUAUUUAUGCACACAUUGGGGGAAAAUAGCCAAUUUCAGAUUACGCAAGCUGUGAUUUGUUUUUCAUAUUUAGGUUUUCACAUACAGACAUAUGUACAUACUUUUGCAUAUAUAUAUAUGAAUGUACAUAUACAAGCAAACGUGCGCACAUCGCAUUACGGCAACACUUGGCAGCAUAUUUAAACAAAUUUAAUAAUAUUACAGCCAAGUGUUUGCAACUAUUCACGACUCUGGUAUAAAUAUAUUGGUGUAUAUUUAUACAAACUAAUAAGAAAAAUGGCGGACUUAGAUGCGCACGCAAAAUAAAAUUUUGAUUGUACAGCGUCGUUUUUGUUUGUAUGCAUACUUACACACAGGCGUACUUUUAGUGCAUUAGUUACUUAUUACCUAAAACAAAGCGACCCAAUGAAAAUAUGUAAAGCAUAUGUAUAUACGCACAUAUGUACGUAUGAAUUCAUCAUGUACACAGCCAUCCGAGACUUUCAAAAAUUUCCACUGCAGCAAAGAGCCCUGUCAGGUGCCGAAAUAUCCGGGCAAUGGUUAAAGCUUCUUUUGUGCGAAUGCAUGCAUUGUAUUUAUUAAAUAUACCACCGAUGGCGGGAAAAGUAAAGAGAAACCUUACCGGCCAUGGAGGGCUAUCAGAAAAAGACGUCUUUGGAAAUCUACAGCCAAACCGCGAUUUGGUUUUAAAAAGCUUUGUAAAAAUUUUGUAACAUUAUUUAAGAGUUGUAUAAUAAAGAUCUUUCUACCAAA